This 271-nucleotide long non-coding RNA is filed under the name Physcomitrium patens. RNAcentral describes it as "long non-coding RNA (PPAT_LNC010983)". The record is from RNAcentral. Lineage: Eukaryota; Viridiplantae; Streptophyta; Bryopsida; Funariales; Funariaceae.
GAACCUCCCGAUGAGAAUCCAUAUCCAAGUGACAAGGGUCCAGCAUCGUUCAGCAUGUAGCUGGGAUUUCCUGAGAAAUUCGGAGCUUGGAGAAGGUUGGUAGCUUCCAUGCCAUAGAAAGUCGAAAGAGCAGGAGUGGCUGCGAGUGCCAUCUUCACAAAUAUUCUUCAGGUAACCCAAAUGUAAAAAUACUCCCCUAUCUAAAUAGAGACCUUCACACAGUCAUGAAAGCUUGAUUCUUCCACAUCCGGGAGAUCUACAAAAUAAUAUU